UGAGGAAUAUUGGUCAAUGGACGGAAGUCUGAACCAGCCAAGUAGCGUGCAGGAUGACGGCCCUAUGGGUUGUAAACUGCUUUUGUAUGGGGAUAAAGUUAGGGACGUGUCCCUAUUUGCAGGUACCAUACGAAUAAGGACCGGCUAAUUCCGUGCCAGCAGCCGCGGUAAUACGGAAGGUCCAGGCGUUAUCCGGAUUUAUUGGGUUUAAAGGGAGCGUAGGCUGGAGAUUAAGUGUGUUGUGAAAUGUAGACGCUCAACGUCUGAAUUGCAGCGCAUACUGGUUUCCUUGAGGUACGCACAACGUUGGCGGAAUUCGUCGUGUAGCGGUGAAAUGCUUAGAUAUGACGAAGAACUCCGAUUGCGAAGGCAGCUGACGGGAGCGCAACUGACGCUUAAGCUCGAAGGUGCGGGUAUCAAACAGGAUUAGAUACCCUGGUAGUCCGCACAGUAAACGAUGGAUGCCCACUGUUGGUACCUGGUAUCAGCGGCUAAGCGAAAGCAUUAAGCAUCCCACCUGGGGAGUACGCCGGCAACGGUG
Molecule: ribosomal RNA, 541 nt
Filed under: uncultured bacterium
Lineage: Bacteria
Description: bacterial SSU rRNA
Rfam family: Bacterial small subunit ribosomal RNA
Source: RNAcentral